UAGCCGGUGCAAGUCCGGCCGAGGUAAGAGCCAAGUCGCCUCGUAGCUGACGGGCAACUGGUGGAGAGAUCCUAAGGUUGAAGCCCCGUGACAAAGUAACUCCCAUAGGGAGUGCGAGCAAAACAGCAGGCCGUAACAUGA
Molecule: non-coding RNA, 141 nt
Filed under: Paenibacillus naphthalenovorans
Lineage: Bacteria; Bacillati; Bacillota; Bacilli; Caryophanales; Paenibacillaceae
Source: RNAcentral